CUCCUCUCAGAGUCGCACCUGGAGAGUUUCCAGUACUCUACCAGUAUCAGCUUCAGGAGGGAGAGUCAAGCAGGGGCACACCAAUUCCAUUCCUAGCAUGGACAGUGGCUAGCGAGUGGAAGGCAAUCUGCUACAAGA
Tachyglossus aculeatus (Australian echidna) is the source of this 138-nucleotide small nucleolar RNA. Lineage: Eukaryota; Metazoa; Chordata; Mammalia; Monotremata; Tachyglossidae. The record is from RefSeq and is a predicted model, not a curated record.